This 584-nucleotide long non-coding RNA is filed under the name Manihot esculenta (cassava). Its description in RNAcentral is "long non-coding RNA (MESC_LNC005847)". Lineage: Eukaryota; Viridiplantae; Streptophyta; Magnoliopsida; Malpighiales; Euphorbiaceae. The record is from RNAcentral.
AUGGAUGAUCGCUAUGAUGGAGGACGAUAUGGUGAUAGGGACCGUUUUGAUGCCAGAGACAAAUAUGGGAACCGUGAUCGCUAUGCUAAUGACAGGUACCUCAAGUUCUGUUAAGAUGUGUACGGAAUUGUGUGUAGAAUAUUUUUAUUUAUCUAUUUGACAACUGAAUUUUGACUUUAUCACAGCAGUAGUGGUCUGUUCUUGUUUCAUAUUGUCUAAUUAUUUUAAUACUAUUCAUCAGUACUGUGGUGCUUAAUUUGUGAACCAUGCAGGUACCCUCCAAGUGGAGAUCGCUUUGGGAGUGAGAGAUAUGGUGGUUCAGAUCGUUAUGCUCACAAUGGUUAUGGAAAAGACAGAGCCUACGACAGGGAUGGUAUCGGAAGAGGGGGCAAUGAUAGGUACGCAAGUGGAGGGCCUGCACGAAAUGAUAGGGGCUAUAGGAACAGACCAGUUCCAUACGACAGGCCUAGCAGGGGAGGGCACCCGUCCUCCUUUGAGCGCUAUUAGUCAGUUUGUUGGAUGAUUAGCGUAAUGAAACUUGUAGAUUUUAUGCCCAUAGGCCAGUAAGUCGGUUUUGCGACAAC